Phanerochaete carnosa HHB-10118-sp is the source of this 120-nucleotide transfer RNA. It matches the Rfam family "tRNA". Rfam says of the family: Transfer RNA (tRNA) molecules are approximately 80 nucleotides in length. Their secondary structure includes four short double-helical elements and three loops (D, anti-codon, and T loops). Further hydrogen bonds mediate the characteristic L-shaped molecular structure. tRNAs have two regions of fundamental functional importance: the anti-codon, which is responsible for specific mRNA codon recognition, and the 3' end, to which the tRNAs corresponding amino acid is attached (by aminoacyl-tRNA synthetases). tRNAs cope with the degeneracy of the genetic code in two manners: having more than one tRNA (with a specific anti-codon) for a particular amino acid; and 'wobble' base-pairing, i.e. permitting non-standard base-pairing at the 3rd anti-codon position. NCBI's taxonomy places the organism in Eukaryota, Fungi, Basidiomycota, Agaricomycetes, Polyporales, Phanerochaetaceae. The record is from Rfam.
GGUCCCUUAGCUCAGUGGUAGAGCAUUGUACUUAUGUGGAUACCUCGGCGCCAGCCGCACACCUAAGAUUACGUGAGUAACGUGAUGCAAGGGCCCCGAGUUCGACCCUCGGAGGGACCA